AUCUAAGAAGAAGCAAGCGUACCGGCUCAUGUUCUGACGGCCGUGUUCACGUGGUGUAAGAUCUGCAUUGUGGAAUCCUUCGUCCGGACAAGAGAGAUUGGAUCCUCCCAUCCAGACAACCUGAUAGAACGACAGUGUAUAAGAACAGGGCUCUUAGGACGCCUUUUGUCAAGUUGGGUCAUAACUCUACCCUGAGAAUUGAGAUAGAUGAUCAUGUGGUGCAAGAUAA
Long non-coding RNA from Zea mays, 229 nucleotides. RefSeq lists it as uncharacterized. Lineage: Eukaryota; Viridiplantae; Streptophyta; Magnoliopsida; Poales; Poaceae. The record is from RefSeq and is a predicted model, not a curated record. The transcript has 3 exons.